This 899-nucleotide ribosomal RNA is filed under the name uncultured bacterium. RNAcentral describes it as "bacterial SSU rRNA". It matches the Rfam family "Bacterial small subunit ribosomal RNA", at positions 1 to 892 of the family's 1533-position model. The record is from RNAcentral.
CCCUUAGAGUUUGAUCCUGGCUCAGGAUGAACGCUAGCUACAGGCUUAACACAUGCAAGUCGAGGGGAAACGACAUCGAAAGCUUGCUUUCGAUGGGCGUCGACCGGCGCACGGGUGAGUAACGCGUAUCCAACCUGCCCAUCACUUGGGGAUAACCUUGCGAAAGUAAGACUAAUACCCAAUGACGUCUCUAGAAGACAUCUGAAGGAGAUUAAAGAUUUAUCGGUGAUGGAUGGGGAUGCGUCUGAUUAGCUUGUUGGCGGGGUAACGGCCCACCAAGGCGACGAUCAGUAGGGGUUCUGAGAGGAAGGUCCCCCACAUUGGAACUGAGACACGGUCCAAACUCCUACGGGAGGCAGCAGUGAGGAAUAUUGGUCAAUGGGCGAGAGCCUGAACCAGCCAAGUAGCGUGCAGGAUGACGGCCCUAUGGGUUGUAAACUGCUUUUAUAAGGGAAUAAAGUGAGCCUCGUGAGGCUUUUUGCAUGUACCUUAUGAAUAAGGACCGGCUAAUUCCGUGCCAGCAGCCGCGGUAAUACGGAAGGUCCGGGCGUUAUCCGGAUUUAUUGGGUUUAAAGGGAGCGUAGGCCGGAGAUUAAGCGUGUUGUGAAAUGUAGACGCUCAACGUCUGCACUGCAGCGCGAACUGGUUUCCUUGAGUACGCACAAAGUGGGCGGAAUUCGUGGUGUAGCGGUGAAAUGCUUAGAUAUCACGAAGAACUCCGAUUGCGAAGGCAGCUCACUGGAGCGCAACUGACGCUGAAGCUCGAAAGUGCGGGUAUCGAACAGGAUUAGAUACCCUGGUAGUCCGCACGGUAAACGAUGGAUGCCCGCUGUUGGUCUGAAUAGGUCAGCGGCCAAGCGAAAGCAUUAAGCAUCCCACCUGGGGAGUACGCCGGCAAC